Molecule: ribosomal RNA, 643 nt
Filed under: uncultured bacterium
Lineage: Bacteria
Description: bacterial SSU rRNA
Rfam family: Bacterial small subunit ribosomal RNA
Source: RNAcentral
CGCGGCCUAUCAGCUUGUUGGUGGGGUAGUGGCUUACCAAGGCUUUGACGGGUAGCCGGCCUGAGAGGGUGACCGGCCACAUUGGGACUGAGAUACGGCCCAGACUCCUACGGGAGGCAGCAGUGGGGAAUAUUGCACAAUGGGCGGAAGCCUGAUGCAGCAACGCCGCGUGCGGGAUGACGGCCUUCGGGUUGUAAACCGCUUUCGCCUGUGACGAAGCGUGAGUGACGGUAAUGGGUAAAGAAGCACCGGCUAACUACGUGCCAGCAGCCGCGGUGAUACGUAGGGUGCGAGCGUUGUCCGGAUUUAUUGGGCGUAAAGGGCUCGUAGGUGGUUGAUCGCGUCGGAAGUGUAAUCUUGGGGCUUAACCCUGAGCGUGCUUUCGAUACGGGUUGACUUGAGGAAGGUAGGGGAGAAUGGAAUUCCUGGUGGAGCGGUGGAAUGCGCAGAUAUCAGGAGGAACACCAGUGGCGAAGGCGGUUCUCUGGGCCUUUCCUGACGCCGAGGAGCGAAAGCGUGGGGAGCGAACAGGCUUAGAUACCCUGGUAGUCCACGCUGUAAACGGUGGGUACUAGGUGUGGGGUCCAUUCCACGGGUUCCGUGCCGUAGCUAACGCUUUAAGUACCCCGCCUGGGGAGUACGG